RNAcentral lists this ribosomal RNA (478 nucleotides) under uncultured bacterium. RNAcentral's name for it is "partial 16S ribosomal RNA". It matches the Rfam family "Bacterial small subunit ribosomal RNA", at positions 28 to 507 of the family's 1533-position model. The record is from RNAcentral.
GAUGAACGCUGGCGGCGUGCUUAACACAUGCAAGUCGAACGGGAAACCUUUUAUUGCUGCUUCUGCAGAUUUAGCUGGUUUCUAGUGGCGGACGGGUGAGUAACGCCUGGGUAAUCUGCCUUAUUCAGGGGGAUAACAACCAGAUAUGGUUGCUAAUACCGUAUAAGUGCACAGGACCGCACGGUCCGGUGUGCACUACUCCGUUGGUCUAUGAUGGACCCGCGUGGGAUUAGCUAGUUGGCAGGGUAACGGCCUACCAAGGCGACGAUCCAUAGCCGGCAUGAGAGAGUGAACCGCGACAUUGGGACUGAGACACGGCCCAGACUCCUACGGGAGGCAGCAGUGGGGAAUACUGCAAAAUGGGGGAAGCCCUGAUGCAGCUACGCCGCGUGAAGGAAGAAGUAGCUAGGUAUGUAAACUUCUAUAAGCAGGGAAGAUAGUGACGGUACCUGAAGAAGAAGCCCCGGCUAACUACGUG